UACGUAGGGUGCAAGCGUUGUCCGGAAUUAUUGGGCGUAAAGAGCUCGUAGGCGGUCUGUCGCGUCGGCUGUGAAAUCCCGAGGCUCAACCUCGGGUCUGCAGUCGAUACGGGCAAACUGGAGUACUGCAGGGGAGACUGGAAUUCCUGGUGUAGCGGUGAAAUGCGCAGAUAUCAGGAGGAACACCGGUGGCGAAGGCGGCAUCCUGGACCAACACUGACGCUGAGGAGCGAAAGCCAGGGGAGCAAACGGG
This 253-nucleotide ribosomal RNA is filed under the name uncultured bacterium. RNAcentral describes it as "partial 16S ribosomal RNA". It matches the Rfam family "Bacterial small subunit ribosomal RNA", at positions 524 to 776 of the family's 1533-position model. The record is from RNAcentral.